RNAcentral lists this RNase P RNA (397 nucleotides) under Deltaproteobacteria bacterium. RNAcentral describes it as "RNase P RNA component class A". It matches the Rfam family "Bacterial RNase P class A". From Rfam's summary of the family: Ribonuclease P (RNase P) is a ubiquitous endoribonuclease, found in archaea, bacteria and eukarya as well as chloroplasts and mitochondria. Its best characterised activity is the generation of mature 5'-ends of tRNAs by cleaving the 5'-leader elements of precursor-tRNAs. Lineage: Bacteria; Pseudomonadati; Myxococcota; Myxococcia. The record is from RNAcentral.
CGAACCGGGCGAGGUGGUCGCGCGCGCGCCACACCGGCACGCACGAGGAAAGUCCGAGUUCCGCAGGGCAGGGUGCCGGCUAACGGCCGGUGGGGGCGACCCCGAGGAGAGUGCAACAGAGAACAGACCGCCGGCGAUACCGCCGGCAAGGGUGAAACGGCGAGGUAAGAGCUCACCGGACCGCUGGUGACAGCGGUCGCGAGGCAAACCCCACCCGGAACAAGACCAAAUAGGGGAGCGCUCGCGAGCCUCGGCUCGCGUACGAGUGGCCCGCUCGAGCUCCCGGGUACGGUCGCUGGAGGCACGCGGCAACGCGUGCCCGAGAGGAAUGACCACCAGCCCUGGUCGGGGCGACCCGCCAGGGCGACAGAACUCGGCUUACGGCUCGAUUCGACCG